This 28-nucleotide non-coding RNA is filed under the name Mus musculus (house mouse). Lineage: Eukaryota; Metazoa; Chordata; Mammalia; Rodentia; Muridae. The record is from RNAcentral.
UAGUGAACUUGUUGACGCUACCACACUA